Molecule: unclassified non-coding RNA, 660 nt
Filed under: Hevea brasiliensis (rubber tree)
Lineage: Eukaryota; Viridiplantae; Streptophyta; Magnoliopsida; Malpighiales; Euphorbiaceae
Source: RNAcentral
GCCAAUGGGAGGAAGCUCCAUCCAUGUACUUGAAACUUGAUGUUAAGUCAUUACUUCAUGGAGAUGCUCUGGAGGAAGGUGGAAUCCAAGAGGUAGACAUGGAUAUGGAAGAUGAUGACUCAUUUGGAGUGCCUUCCACUUUAGAGGAAGAGAAUAUUGAGAAGUUUACAGUACCUCCCCAAGAGGAUAUUCCAGCAUGUGGCGAUGUAAAGGAUGAUCAGGUUUUAGACCAUGAGGAGGACCACCGAAUAACUGAAGUAAAAGAAUUGGCAAAGAGUAAAUGGUCAUCUGAUUUGGAUGAAGAUAAUACUCGAAGAAAUAAAGAUGCCACUAGAAACAUAAAUGCUCUCUCUGGGUUGAUACAAUCUUACAGCAAGGAAGGAAAGUUCGUACGUUGGGGUGACCAGGUAACCAAAAGAGGCUUUUCUAUAGGGGCAGCAAAAGCAACCAAUGUAUCUUUAAUAAUUGGUCCUGGUGCAGGAUACAACUUGAAGUCAAACCCUUUACCUGACGAAGAGAAGUUGACAUCAACUCGACAUAGUGGUGAACCAAAGAGGCAGAACAUAUUUCAAGAGAGAUUACGAGCAGAGCACGAGUCGUUUAGGGCUGUUUUCGAGUCCUUCAGAACUGGUUCUGACAAGAGGCGGCCGCGGAUAUCUG